This 502-nucleotide ribosomal RNA is filed under the name uncultured bacterium. RNAcentral describes it as "partial 16S ribosomal RNA". It matches the Rfam family "Bacterial small subunit ribosomal RNA", at positions 30 to 523 of the family's 1533-position model. The record is from RNAcentral.
AUUGAACGCUGGCGGCAGGCUUAACACAUGCAAGUCGAGCGGCAGCACAGUGUGUAGCAAUACACAUGGGUGGCGAGUGGCGGACGGGUGAGUAACGCGUAAGAAUCUGCCUUGAAGCGGGGGAUAACCCGAGGAAACUCGGGCUAAUACCGCAUAAUAUCGAGAGAUUAAAGCUAGGGCAACCUGGCACUUCAAGAGGAGCCUGCGUACGAUUAGCUAGUUGGUAGGGUAAAGGCCUACCAAGGCGAUGAUCGUUAACUGGUCUGAGAGGAUGAUCAGGCACACUGGAACUGAGACACGGUCCAGACUCCUACGGGAGGCAGCAGUGGGGAAUAUUGGACAAUGGGGGCAACCCUGAUCCAGCAAUGCCGCGUGUGUGAAGAAGGCCUUCGGGUUGUAAAGCACUUUUGGCAGGGAGGAAGGUAUGGAGUUUAAGAGACACCAUAUUUGACUGUACCUGCAGAAUAAGCACCGGCUAACUCUGUGCCAGCCGCCGCCGUAA